Molecule: ribosomal RNA, 366 nt
Filed under: uncultured bacterium
Lineage: Bacteria
Description: partial 16S ribosomal RNA
Rfam family: Bacterial small subunit ribosomal RNA
Source: RNAcentral
UGGGGAAUCUUAGACAAUGGGGGAAACCCUGAUCUAGCCAUGCCGCGUGAGCGAUGAAGGCCUUAGGGUUGUAAAGCUCUUUCAGCUGGGAAGAUAAUGACGGUACCAGCAGAAGAAGCCCCGGCUAACUCCGUGCCAGCAGCCGCGGUAAUACGGAGGGGGCUAGCGUUGUUCGGAAUUACUGGGCGUAAAGCGCACGUAGGCGGAUUAGUCAGUCAGAGGUGAAAUCCCAGGGCUCAACCCUGGAACUGCCUUUGAUACUGCUAGUCUUGAGGUCGAGAGAGGUGAGUGGAAUUCCGAGUGUAGAGGUGAAAUUCGUAGAUAUUCGGAGGAACACCAGUGGCGAAGGCGGCUCACUGGCUCGAU